Molecule: transfer RNA, 76 nt
Filed under: Candidatus Falkowbacteria bacterium RIFOXYA2_FULL_38_12
Lineage: Bacteria; Candidatus Falkowiibacteriota
Also listed under: 2 other names
Description: tRNA-Thr
Rfam family: tRNA
About the family: Transfer RNA (tRNA) molecules are approximately 80 nucleotides in length.
Source: RNAcentral
GCCGAUGUAGCUCAGUUGGUAGAGCAAUGCUUUCGUAAAGCAGAGGUCGUGGGUUCGACUCCCGCCAUCGGCUCCA